CUGGUAAAGUCAGGUUCCUGUAGGAUAAUGAUCCAACGAGAAAUAUAUGGGGUGAGCAGAAAUGCGUAGGGAAACCAAAUCUGAAAAGGGUGUUAAUCUCAUAUGUCCUGAAAAGUGACGAUCUAUUUUUAAAUAAGACCCCCGUAAGGAGAGGGGUUUAUCUUUGUUUUUAUAAAGAUAAAGGAGUCUGAACCCGUGAAUGUGCAAAAUUCUGGGAUAAGUUAAGAAUAGAAGUGAAACACUAAUCGGGUCUCUAUAUAACAGGUUUUUUGCGAAACAAUUAAUUAGAUUGACCUUUUACGUUUAAAAAUUAAAUCUUACAGAUUAUUUAAGAAUUUAAACUGAAGAUAAAAAAGUAAAAGAGUUGGAGGUCCCGGGAAAGGCUGGGAGUCCUCAAAAGGAUAACAGUCCAGAAUUAAGGUUAAAGUUCUAAAGUAAUAACUUAUUAGGUUUAAGGAAAAAAUGGGGGUGUAAUUUCACAUAUUAAAAAGAAGAGUGGAGGACAGGGUUUCUGAGACAUAUUCUUAAAAAAUGAUUCAACACAUACUUAUGCAGUACUGAGGUUAGAUUUUAUCUAACCCAUUCUCUUAAAUUUCUUCUAAAUUUUAGGAAUAAAGUUAUACACUGAAACCUCUUAGUUAUUAUUUAAAAUAUAUAACUGGUAGCAAAACACCUUACUUCAUUUUUAGUAAGGGGGAUGAUGUUGGA
RNAcentral lists this non-coding RNA (708 nucleotides) under Thelohanellus kitauei. RNAcentral's name for it is "Bacterial large subunit ribosomal RNA". It matches the Rfam family "Bacterial large subunit ribosomal RNA", at positions 588 to 1301 of the family's 2925-position model. Lineage: Eukaryota; Metazoa; Cnidaria; Myxozoa; Bivalvulida; Myxobolidae. The record is from Rfam by way of RNAcentral.